UGGGGAAUCUUAGACAAUGGGGGAAACCCUGAUCUAGCCAUGCCGCGUGAGCGAUGAAGGCCUUAGGGUUGUAAAGCUCUUUCAGCUGGGAAGAUAAUGACGGUACCAGCAGAAGAAGCCCCAGCUAACUCCGUGCCAGCAGCCGCGGUAAUACGGAGGGGGCUAGCGUUGUUCGGAAUUACUGGGCGUAAAGCGCACGUAGGCGGAUUAGUCAGUCAGAGGUGAAAUCCCAGGGCUCAACCCUGGAACUGCCUUUGAUACUGCUAGUCUUGAGGUCGAGAGAGGUGAGUGGAAUUCCGAGUGUAGAGGUGAAAUUCGUAGAUAUUCGGAGGAACACCAGUGGCGAAGGCGGCUCACUGGCUCGAUACUGACGCUGAGGUGCGAAAGCGUGGGGAGCAAAACAGGAUUAGAUACCCUGGUAGUCCACGCCGUAAACGAUGAAUGCCAGUCGUCGGGUUGCAUGCAAUUCGGUGACACACCUAAACGGAUUAAAGCAUUCCGCCUGGGGAGUACGGUCGCAAGAUUAAAACUCAAAUGAAUUGACGGGGUCAUAGCUGUUUCCUG
RNAcentral lists this ribosomal RNA (564 nucleotides) under uncultured bacterium. RNAcentral describes it as "partial 16S ribosomal RNA". It matches the Rfam family "Bacterial small subunit ribosomal RNA", at positions 355 to 1376 of the family's 1533-position model. The record is from RNAcentral.